AGAACCAGUUAUGUUGUUCUUGAUUAUCGGUCUUUCAUUGGUUGGCGUAUCUAUAGUCACAAUUUCUUUUGUCCUCAUUAUCAAGAAGAAAAAGAAAGUCAAACACCAUAGUCAGCAAGAAAAGAUUGAUUACGCCAAUAUGAAUUGUGCUUACGACGGUUAUGACAAUCAGGAAAAUUUAGAAACCAAUUACAACUUAUAACUUGAUUCCAGUCACCAGCUCACUUCUGAAAUAUAGGUUACCUAAUUCAUGAAACGUUAAGCUAUAGUUUAUUGACUAAUAGAGUU
Anneissia japonica is the source of this 288-nucleotide long non-coding RNA. RefSeq lists it as uncharacterized. Lineage: Eukaryota; Metazoa; Echinodermata; Crinoidea; Comatulida; Comatulidae. The transcript is spliced from 2 exons. The record is from RefSeq and is a predicted model, not a curated record.